GAAAGAAGAAGGACGUCCACGAGCGCAGAAAUUGAUACGCCCCUGGAGAGGAAAAAAGGGGGACAGAGAUGCUUGGAGGGGAAGAGGGACUGCAAUCUUCAGGAUCACGUACAUAGGACACAGGUAAAUUUCCUUUUCUUCUUUUAUUGGUACCAUAGAUAAUCUAGUGAAGUAGUAUAUUUGACUAGGGAGAUUGAGUAGCAUUCAGUUAACAGUACAUACAAGUUCAAAUAAAAAUCAGUUGCAACUUGGAAUUCUAACACACAUGAGAUAAAACUCGCAAGAACAAAAUUAAUUAGGUUGGCUUCGGUUGAUUGAGAAAGAAUUGAUUUUGUCCUCUCAUCAAACUAGUGUUAGAGGUCCCAAUUGCCCCUUGCACUGACGGAUUCAACACCGAAUGUUGCCGUUGUAAAUAUGUAUGCAUGUGAUUUGUUGGAUGACCCUGUGUAGAAAAUAAGAAAAGUUCAGUUUCAUUUAGGAUAUAAAAGUACAAUACUUAUUUUCAACUUCAAAAAAUUAGAAUACUUGAAAUGGAAGUGUGGACAGAUUAUACCACUUGAGUAUUGUGUGGUUCUUGGGUCUGCGGUGGCAUUGGGAUGGUAUGACCACUUGAUUGCAACAUUGAAGCAUUUAGGAUAGAUGUUGGAUUCGAUUGAUGGAGGAAGUCGUGUUUAUCUCCUAUCACCAAACCAUAGUCAGAGGCCCCAAUGGUCCCUUGCAGCGAGGUGUACAUAUUAUUUGUCGGAUGACUCUGUGAACAAAGCAAAGUUCAGUUGCACUGACGUUUAAAAAUUAGGAAAACUUGAAAGUGUGGACUACUUCUACCAUUGUUGUAUUGUAUGGUUGGAAUCUAGCCAACGGUUGUUGGGUUUGUGCUGCCAUAGGGAUUACAUUACUAAUUGAUGGUUGCAUUGAAUCCCUUAGCAUAGCAUUGUAGUGCAAUUGAUAUGCAGCCAUUUGAUUCGUCAAAAAUUCCAUAGGACCCUAUAGGAGAUGAUAGAUGAAAGUUAGCACAAGUGAGGUUUUAUAAGAAACAAGCAACAAAGUAUUAUUACCGUUGAUGAGUCAUGGGACUGUAGUUGUACAGUACCAUUUGUCUCCUUCUUCUUCUUUAAAGUUGCUUUCUUCGAAGGUCCCUGACGAAAAUGAUAGAUAUAGCUCAGUACGUUGAAUGUUCUAUAGGAAUCAAGUGACAAAAAAUAAUACCAUUGAGGGGCCAUGAUGUUCUAGUUGCACAAUAUCAUUUGUGUUCUUCUUCUUCUUUGAAGUUGCUUUCUCAAAUCCACCAACGGGUCUUUUCGAUCCUUUCACAGUCUUCUCCUUGACCUUCAUACCUUUUGGUUUUGCAAGCCCCUCAUCGUGUUUUGAAAUUCUACUAGAAGGGAUGUUCACUGCAGCCACUGUAAUGCUAAAUAUCAGUCUUUGUUUUACAAUAGUCUAGGCAUUUAUUGUUAGUAUAAUUUGUACCUUCUUUAGUACAUGAGUUACCCAAAUCUUGAUCAGCGCUAACCAAAUCUUGACCAGUGCUAACAAAAUCUGGAUCAGCCCUGAGCUUCAAGUAUUUCUCCACAUCUUGUGCUAAUUGCUCUGCACACUUAGCAGCCUUAUUGUAUGAUUCUUCUGACUCGGCGGCACGAGCAGCUAUUUUCACAAAUAUUCUGCACAGUUCCUUGUAUCGAUUAGACAUUCUUGCUUUUAGGUUAUCAUACUGGUUGCAUUUGCUUGUUAUAUCUAGAACUUUGGCAUCUAUCGUCCAUCUUUUCAAGAUAUAUUCCCCAGGGAUAUGCUUGAUAUUAUUGAUAUCAAGUACCUUUAAGCAAUGAGAGCAAAGAAUUUCAGCAAACUCAAACCUUUUGCAACUGCAGCUAAUCUUUUCUUCUUUUGGAAUGAAUCUAACAACAUGUUCACGUUGUGUGCCAUGAAAUUUUACUACAUAUAUCUUCAGCUCUGUGUCACUUUUAUCACAAAGCAAUGUGUCGUAGUUUAGAGUCCGAAGCACUUGAUCUGGAACCAUCUUGAAUAUUGCUGGAGUAUAUGUAGCUGCAGCUUGUUUUAACAUAUAAUUAGAUUCAGCCUUCAACUUGGGAGUAGUCUGUGUUGCUUUGAAGUCAUACUUCACCUCUUCACAUCUUUUAUCCGACACUAGCCGUUCAAAAUGCUCAAAGAAAGUAAGCAUGUCAUAUUUUAUACUGAUGUAUCUCUUUAGUUCAUUAUUCAUGCUUUCACUUCUUUGGGUAGUGCUCAUGUGGGCAGAGAACGUACAUUUACCAUACACUAGUGCCCAGUGUUCCUUUUUCUCAAAUAGCCUUUGCAGCCAUUCAUUGUCACGCAGUCCAUACUUGUCAAUCAUUUUAUCCCAUGCGCCUACAAAUUCAUCCUCCUCUUCUAUAUCAUAUAUACAGUGCUGAAAAUCAACAUUGAACUUCUUAUAUUCGUCAACAACUCCGGCCAGGUGCUUGCAAGCAUUUUGAUUCAUAUGCCACACACAAAGUCUAUGAUGAGAGUGAGGGAAGACUUCACGAGGUCACCUACCUUUUUCUCCAUGUAUUCUAAUACUCCCCCUGUGUCACCUACCUUCGCUUUUAUUGUUCUCUUUGAGUACAAACGGUUUUUCAUAUCUUGAGGUGUAAAGCCAAGGUUUUCACUUCCACCUGCUUCUUUGGCCAUCAAAUCGAUUGUUGCUUUAUUUGAAAUGCCAACUGACUUUGCGACCUCUGCAUUUGCUAUCUGUGCUUCUGUCACUUUUCUCUGGGAUCUCAAGUAUUGGGCCAUGAUUCCAUUAGCAAGAUUAUGGUUAUGUGACGCCUCAAAUUCAUACACAUAAUAAAAUCCAUCUCUAAGGCUAAUCUUCAUACGGGCAUCACAACCACAUCGUGUUUCAGGCCUACUGUAAGUGAAUGUGUCCUCUCUUUUAUCUUCCCGGCGAUGACCUAUAAGUUGUUGUAAAUGUCUUAGCAGAUAAAGAAGUGAUUAGAACUAAAACAUGAAAGUAAACCAUACCUUGACGAGAGCAUGUAAAUGUCCGUUGCUGCAUUGUAGAAGAGUUCAUCACUUUAUGGCCACUGCUUCUUCUGAUGCUAAAACCGAUAGUUUUAGCAUACUUGUUAUAAAAUAAAUAAGCUUCCUCUUCAGAUAAAAAUUUCAUGCCAAGCUUUGGUACCCUUCCGUCAUCUACUGCAGUUUCUUGAUCCUAUGUCAGUUAGGAUUCAAUUUAGUCCAUGAACUAUAUGCAUUGUAAAAGGAACAGAAAUAAACUGUAGUGGGUGUUUUCCAAAAACUGAAAUCUGAGAUGGUACAAAAAGUCUGAAUGUGCAACUAAAUGUGAAAAUGCAACGAAACUAAAUUUCCGUUGUUGUUUGGCUUUUGCAGCUUGCGGCUUUUGUCGCUGAUUCAUCAUCAGAACCGAGUGAGAUUUCUUACUUUAGGUGCGUGAGAUUGUUCAUCAACGUCCUGAUUCUCUGGAACACUCCUUGGAGAAGCCGUCAGGGAUGCAAGACUCGGAGAAGCCAUCGGGGGUGGAGAUUCCUUUGCUACUCAAUUCAAGAGAAGAAUUUCUUGAUUCAUGGUUAGGCCGCCAUUGAUAGUUGUGCGUUUUAAGGCUGUAGGUCACUUCCGUCUAAUAUGAGAAGUAGAUCUUACAUGUUGGCGCCCUUUUUUGUAUUAGGAGGUUCUUUUUCCGGGUGAUUGGAUUCUUUCCCGCUGGUUUGCGUGCAGUUUUAAUGAUGAGAGUAUUACGGAAGGAAAUCA
RNAcentral lists this long non-coding RNA (3747 nucleotides) under Hordeum vulgare. RNAcentral's name for it is "long non-coding RNA (HVUL_LNC014047)". Lineage: Eukaryota; Viridiplantae; Streptophyta; Magnoliopsida; Poales; Poaceae. The record is from RNAcentral.